This 179-nucleotide ribosomal RNA is filed under the name uncultured bacterium. Its description in RNAcentral is "partial 16S ribosomal RNA". It matches the Rfam family "Bacterial small subunit ribosomal RNA", at positions 355 to 525 of the family's 1533-position model. The record is from RNAcentral.
UAGGGAAUCUUCGGCAAUGGACGAAAGCCUGACCGAGCAACGCCGCGUGAGUGAAGAAGGUUUUCGGAUCGUAAAACUCUGUUGGUAGAGAAGAACGUUGGUGAGAGUGGAAAGCUCAUCAAGUGACGGUAACUACCCAGAAAGGGACGGCUAACUACGUGCCAGCAGCCGGGGUAAUA